RNAcentral lists this long non-coding RNA (657 nucleotides) under Homo sapiens (human). Its description in RNAcentral is "HSALNT0305248". Lineage: Eukaryota; Metazoa; Chordata; Mammalia; Primates; Hominidae. The record is from RNAcentral.
GGCGACUCGCUGGGGUUCCCUUACCGAGCUGUGGGAGCUUUGUUCUUUCGCUUUUUGCAAUAAAUCUUGCUGCUGCUCACUCUUUGGGUCCACACUGCCUUUAUGAGCUGUAACACUCACGGUGAAGGUCCGCAGCUUCACUCCUGAGCCGGCGAGACCACGAACCCACCAGAAGGAAGAAACUCCGAACAUCAGAAGGAACCAACUCCGGACAUGCCGCCUUUAAGAACUGUAACACUCACCGCGAGGAGCCACGGCUUCAUUCUGGAAGUCAGUGAGACCGAGAACCCACUGAGUCCGGACACAUUAGGAUGUUAGAGUCCCACCUUCAAAGCAUUUUUCUCCUGGAGUGGACUUUGCACAAAUGGUAGGCCAAUUGUGGAGUCAGUGAAGAACCAGGCUAAUCCAGCUUGUUUUAUUGGCCCCAGUUUUUCUUCUCAGGGCCGUAAACCAGUUAUUACCAGGAAACAAAAGCAAAACUGGAGUGCAGUGGCUCAGUCUCAGCUCACUGCAACCUCUGCCUCCCAGUUCAAGUAAUUCUCCUGCCUCAGGUUCCUGAGUAGCUGCGACUACAGAGGACCAAGAACUUCGCUUUAUUCCUGGCAGUGUGCAUUGCUCAUGGCAGCAUGAAAAAAACAGAGUCCUGAGUAUGAAGUA